AACGCACAUUGCGCCCGCCAGUAUUCUGGCGGGCAUGCCUGUUCGAGCGUCAUUUCAACCCUCAAGCCCCCGGGUUUGGUGUUGGGGAUCGGCGAGUCUUAGGACCAGCCGCCCCCUAAAUCUAGUGGCGGUCUCACUGCAGCCUCCAUUGCGUAGUAGCUAACACCUCGCAACUGGAACGCGGUGCGGCCAUGCCGUUAAACCCCCAACUUCUGAAUGUUGACCUCGGAUCAGGUAGGAAUACCCGCUGAACUUAA
This 257-nucleotide unclassified non-coding RNA is filed under the name uncultured fungus. Its description in RNAcentral is "sequence contains ITS2". The stretch from base 1 to 52 matches the Rfam family "5.8S ribosomal RNA", at positions 103 to 154 of the family's 154-position model. Lineage: Eukaryota; Fungi. The record is from RNAcentral.